This 493-nucleotide ribosomal RNA is filed under the name uncultured bacterium. Its description in RNAcentral is "partial 16S ribosomal RNA". It matches the Rfam family "Bacterial small subunit ribosomal RNA", at positions 30 to 523 of the family's 1533-position model. The record is from RNAcentral.
AUUGAACGCUGGCGGCAUGCUUUACACAUGCAAGUCGAACGGUAACAGGUUAAGCUGACGAGUGGCGAACGGGUGAGUAAUGCAUCGGAACGUGCCCGAUCGUGGGGGAUAACGCAGCGAAAGCUGCGCUAAUACCGCAUAUGAUCUGAGGAUGAAAGCGGGGGACCGUAAGGCCUCGCGCGAUCGGAGCGGCCGAUGUCAGAUUAGGUAGUUGGUGGGGUAAAGGCUCACCAAGCCAACGAUCUGUAGCUGGUCUGAGAGGACGACCAGCCACACUGGGACUGAGACACGGCCCAGACUCCUACGGGAGGCAGCAGUGGGGAAUUUUGGACAAUGGGCGAUAGCCUGAUCCAGCAAUGCCGCGUGCAGGAAGAAGGCCUUCGGGUUGUAAACUGCUUUUGUACGGAGCGAAAAGGUCCCCUCUAAUACAGGGGGCUCAUGACGGUACCGUAAGAAUAAGCACCGGCUAACUACGUGCCAGCCGCCGCGGUAA